GGUGAUAUCGUCUAGUGGUUAGGACAACACGUUGUGGAUGUGCAACCCACAAAUAAUACCGUGUAAACGCCGGUUCGAUUCCGGCUAUCGCCA
Molecule: non-coding RNA, 93 nt
Organism: Camillea tinctor
Lineage: Eukaryota; Fungi; Ascomycota; Sordariomycetes; Xylariales; Graphostromataceae
Source: the annotation of a GenBank genome assembly